GACGAACGCUGGCGGCGUGCUUAACACAUGCAAGUCGAACGAUGAAGCCCAGCUUGCUGGGUGGAUUAGUGGCGAACGGGUGAGUAACACGUGGGCAACCUGCCCCAAACUCUGGGAUAACUCCUCGAAAGAGGUGCUAAUACCGGAUACGAAUUAGGUAGACAUCUGCACUAGUUGGAAAGUUUUUCGGUUUGGGAUGGGCCCGCGGCCUAUCAGCUUGUUGGUGAGGUAACGGCUCACCAAGGCUACGACGGGUAACCGGCCUGAGAGGGGGACCGGUCACACUGGGACUGAGACACGGCCCAGACUCCUACGGGAGGCAGCAGUGGGGAAGAUUGCGCAAUGGGCGAAAGCCUGACGCAGCGACGCCGCGUGAGGGAUGAAGGUCUUCGGAUCGUAAACCUCUUUCAGUAGGGACGAAGCGAAAGUGACGGUACCUAAAGAAGAAGCACCGGCUAACUACGUGCCAGCAGCCGCGGUAA
This 482-nucleotide ribosomal RNA is filed under the name uncultured bacterium. Its description in RNAcentral is "partial 16S ribosomal RNA". It matches the Rfam family "Bacterial small subunit ribosomal RNA", at positions 28 to 523 of the family's 1533-position model. The record is from RNAcentral.